Molecule: non-coding RNA, 245 nt
Organism: Pelobates cultripes (western spadefoot toad)
Lineage: Eukaryota; Metazoa; Chordata; Amphibia; Anura; Pelobatidae
Source: the annotation of a GenBank genome assembly
AUUAAGGGUAUUGUGGCAAACCCUGCCACUAAAAUACUAACUAUUCUGUGCGAAUGAACAUUGGAAUUAUUACAAGCGAAUGGGUGCAAAGGCAGAGACUAAUUCACGAACGGACUAUAAUGCUAUUCAUGCUGUUCUGUAUGCGAAUGCCCUGAAACUACCGAACGAGAGACCACCCUGGGGUGGUCGUGUGUCUCAUAUUAACCAAAGAUACAAUGUUGCGAAGUGUAUUAAGUGCCAGUGUG